AUUGAACGCUGGCGGCAGGCUUAACACAUGCAAGUCGAGCGGGGUGAUGGUGCUUGCACUAUCACUUAGCGGCGGACGGGUGAGUAAUGCUUAGGAAUCUGCCUAUUAGUGGGGGACAACACCUCGAAAGGGAUGAUAAUACCGCAUACGUCCUACGGGAGAAAGCAGGGGAUCACUUGUGACCUUGCGCUAAUAGAUGAGCCUAAGUCGGAUUAGCUAGUUGGUGGGGUAAAGGCCUACCAAGGCGACGAUCUGUAGCGGGUCUGAGAGGAGGAUCCGCCACACUGGGACUGAGACACGGCCCAGACUCCUACGGGAGGCAGCAGUGGGGAAUAUUGGACAAUGGGGGGAACCCUGAUCCAGCCAUGCCGCGUGUGUGAAGAAGGCCUUAUGGUUGAAAAGCACUUUAAGCGAGGAGGAGGCUCUUUUGGUUAAUACCCAAGAUGAGUGGACGUUACUCGCAGAAUAAGCACCGGCUAACUCUGUGCCAGCCGCCGCCGUAA
This 503-nucleotide ribosomal RNA is filed under the name uncultured bacterium. RNAcentral describes it as "partial 16S ribosomal RNA". It matches the Rfam family "Bacterial small subunit ribosomal RNA", at positions 30 to 523 of the family's 1533-position model. The record is from RNAcentral.